CUGGCUCAGAUUGAACGCUGGCGGCAGGCUUAAUACAUGCAAGUCGAACGGUAACGGCAGGAAGCUUGCUUCCUGGCUGACGAGUGGCGGACGGGUGAGUAAUACCUGGGGAGCUGCCUGAAUGAGGGGGACAACACCUGGAAACGGGUGCUAAUACCGCGUAAGCCCUGAGGGGGAAAGGCCGGGCAACCGGUCGCAUUCAGAUGCGCCCAGGUGGGAUUAGCUAGUUGGUGGGGUAACGGCCUACCAAGGCGACGAUCUCUAGCUGGUCUGAGAGGAUGAUCAGCCACACUGGAACUGAGACACGGUCCAGACUCCUACGGGAGGCAGCAGUAGGGAAUAUUGCACAAUGGGGGGAACCCUGAUGCAGCCAUGCCGCGUGUGUGAAGAAAGGCCUUUGGGUUGUAAAGCACUUUCAGUAUGGAGGAAGUGAGCUGAGUUAAUAGCUUAGUUCAUUGACGUUACAUACAGAAGAAGCACCGGCUAACUCCGUGCCAGCCGCCGC
This 505-nucleotide ribosomal RNA is filed under the name uncultured bacterium. RNAcentral describes it as "bacterial SSU rRNA". It matches the Rfam family "Bacterial small subunit ribosomal RNA", at positions 19 to 518 of the family's 1533-position model. The record is from RNAcentral.